GCGCCUUUAGCUCAGUCGGUUAGAGCAGGCGACUCAUAAUCGCUUGGUCGCUGGUUCAAGUCCAGCAAGGCGCACCA
This 77-nucleotide transfer RNA is filed under the name Sutterella sp. RNAcentral's name for it is "tRNA-Ile". It matches the Rfam family "tRNA". Rfam says of the family: Transfer RNA (tRNA) molecules are approximately 80 nucleotides in length. Lineage: Bacteria; Pseudomonadati; Pseudomonadota; Betaproteobacteria; Burkholderiales; Sutterellaceae. The record is from RNAcentral.